AUCCAAAGAAAGCAGAAGCAGAAAAUGUCAUCGUAUCAGAAGACAAAAGCAAGAAUAUGAAAGGAUAAAGGAGGAACGUGCACAAAAAAGAGAGGAAUUCUUGAAAGACAAAGCUCAGCGAGAGGAGGCUCUGAAGAAAUACAAGGAGAAGAAAACAGCAACAUAUCAGUUGUUGAAAAGAAAAACCAAAAAGGGUCAGCCCAACCUUAACCUGCAUAUGGAGCUGUUGCUGCAAAAGAUUGAAGCUCAGCGCAAAUAAUUCAGUAUCAUCCAUAAAAUCAGACUAUAAUCACACAAUAAACUGCAGUUUGGGUGAGUUUUUUUUUGUUUGUUUGUUUUUUUGACCUCAAGGAUGAUGUAUAUAACUUUUUCUUUCCCAGUAAUAUUUCUUGUAAAUAAAAUGUUAAAUUAUACUCUUCUUAAGUUAAUAAAAGAAGACAGUACAGAACUGAUGCUAUGACAGUAAGCUUAUGGAAAAACAUGAAGCUUUAUAAUAUCUAUUAUCUGGUAAAUCUAUUUUUAUCAUUAUAUUUAGGUAAAUAAUGCUGUCAGCAGCCUAAAAGUACAGUAGUGCCUAAAAAUACUUUCUUAAACAUUUAUAGCAUAACUUUCUACUUUUCUCUACUACUCUUUUUGUGACAUGAUGUUGGAAUGAUAUCUUUUGUUUAUUAGGUGAAAAGCAUUGAUAUCAAAAUAGUAAUAAAAGACAAAAUGCCAAAAUACAAAUAUUUAAAUUUGUUGAUACUGAAUUUUGCAAAGCAUUUAACUUUUCA
Molecule: long non-coding RNA, 773 nt
Organism: Cyprinus carpio (common carp)
Lineage: Eukaryota; Metazoa; Chordata; Actinopteri; Cypriniformes; Cyprinidae
Exons: 2
Source: RefSeq, a predicted model, not a curated record